Long non-coding RNA from Mus caroli (Ryukyu mouse), 1456 nucleotides. RefSeq lists it as uncharacterized. The record is from RefSeq and is a predicted model, not a curated record. Lineage: Eukaryota; Metazoa; Chordata; Mammalia; Rodentia; Muridae.
GGAUACUUCAUUCAUCCAGGUCGUGUCGUCUGAAAUAGAAACAGUCCAAUCCCAAAGUUGGUUUUGUGUGCGUGUGUGUAUGCUGGGUUUUAUCUCCACCACCAUUCCCUCCCUUCCUCUUCUCUCUGCACUGUCUCUCCUUUGUGCAUCUUGGACUCCUGAAGGCCACUCAGAGCAUAGAUGCGCCAGCUUAGUUCUUUGGAGAAGCAGUAUGGAGUCCUAAAAAAGGAGGCUGGGUCUUACCGUUGAGGUCGGUGCCGAUAGAGGAUGGGAGGGAGUCUGCAGGAGCCAAGCACCCUCAAGAAGAGGAAGAGAGAACGUUGCGGAGAUUUGAACAGCGGUCUGUGAGGUCAGACUGGACUCAGGCCUCCUCAAGAUUGGCUUCCCAUGGGACCUGCAACUGUCUGGAAACAAAAAGCCAAGCCUACCAAAAGGGGAAAUUUAAAGGAGAGCAAGAAACCAUGAAGAGAGAGAACCGAAAACGCGAAAAUGCCGACAAGCCCAAAGGAAAGCGGAGUGUCCUGUGUGCCACAUGGAACUCGGGGAAAGGAAAUGAUUAAAGCCGUGAGGUUUCCUGGCUCUUCGUGGUGUUUACGCUGCUGGUAGAAUGGCUGAGGGCCAUUGUGAGUACUUCAGAGGCUCGAUGACCGAUGACCGAUGCGAGGGUGAAGACUCUUCCACUGCUCUUUCAGCCCCUCUGCUCCGGUGCUGAGAAGCAGGUACUAUGCCCAUUGCUCAAACCCCAAGGCGCUGAUUAAAACCCAUCUAACUCUUUUCUGGGAGUUGCCCUUCUAGACUUGACCUUGGGAAUGGCAGCCAUCUCCCUGUUGACAGCAUUACAGAUGCUGAGGUUGCCUAGCUGAGCUAACACUCAACUUGGGUGUGGCCUUCUGUGUCUCCCUCUUACCCUGCAAAUGUAUGAAGCAAAUGGCUUCAGAUUUCUGUACCAUCCUGUCAGCCAGGAGGAAAGGAGAGUCCCAUAUCUUGGUCAAGAGGAACCUGCCCACAAACUCCAUUUUAGGUUUCCUAGUGUUCUGACUUGAGGAAUAUGCUGAUUUUCCCCCUGCUACCAACCUAGAAGGCAUCACUGCUUAAUAAUCUAGUAUUCCAGAAAUGCAUUUUCCCUUGUAGCAUAUGCUUUUAGACUUUAGAAGGUGCCAGAAUCACCUAACUGGCUGGGGACUGGUCAGUGGGCACAAUAGAUAAAGGAGUUUCCAUCUAGUCUAAUGAUCUGUUCCAUCUCUGUGAUUUCCUUCAUGACAUGGCAGGCACACACCCUCCCCACAAACUAAAUAAGUGUUAUAAACAAAACAACAAAACAAAAACAAAACCGGAGUCCUCAUUUCUGAUCCAGCAGGUCUGAGGCAGAGCUUAAGAACCUGCAUUUCUUAUAACUUCCCAAGUGAUGCGUAGGCUGGUCCAGGGAAUAGACUUUCAGAACCAUUGCCAUAUAUCC